GCUACGGCAUCAGUAAUGAUGGGUAGGGGAGCUUCCCAUACGGGUUGAAGCAUGACCGUAAGGACAUGUGGACAGUAUGGGAGUGAGAAUGUUGGCAUGAGUAGCGAGAUGUGGGUGAGAAUCCCACAGGCCGUAAACCCAAGGUUUCCAGGGGAAGGUUCGUCCGCCCUGGGUUAGUCGGGACCUAAGCUGAGGCCGAAAGGCGUAGGUGAUGGACAACAGGUUGAUAUUCCUGUACUACCGAUAACCGUUUGAGAGAAGGGAUGACACAGUAGGAUAAGCUAAGCACACUGUUGGUUAUGUGUGCCCAAGCAUUGAGGCAGUCAAAGUAGGUAAAUCCGCUUUGAUAAUGCUGGGAUGUGAUGGGGAGCGAAAUUUAGUAGCGAAGUAGCUGAUUUCACACUGUCAAGAAAAGUCUCUAUCGAGGUUAAAGGUACCCGUACCGCAAACCGACACAGGUG
This 461-nucleotide ribosomal RNA is filed under the name Clostridioides difficile. Its description in RNAcentral is "bacterial LSU rRNA". It matches the Rfam family "Bacterial large subunit ribosomal RNA", at positions 1199 to 1665 of the family's 2925-position model. The record is from RNAcentral. Lineage: Bacteria; Bacillati; Bacillota; Clostridia; Peptostreptococcales; Peptostreptococcaceae.